GAGGGGAUAACAGCUGGAACGGCUGCUAAUACCCNAUAUGCCGCGAGGUGAAAUGAAUUUCGCCUGAGGAUGAGCUCGCGUCUGAUUAGCUAGUUGGUGUAGGUAAUGGCUCACCAAGGCAUCGAUCAGUAGCUGGUCUGAGAGGAUGAUCAGCCACACUGGGACUGAGACACNNNCCAGACUCCUACGGGAGGCAGCAGUGGGGAAUUUUCCGCAAUGGGCGAAAGCNUGACGGAGCAACGCNGCGUGAGGGAUGAAGGCCUCUGGGCUGUAAACCUCUUUUAUCAAGGAAGAAGAUCUGACGGUACUUGAUGAAUAA
This 319-nucleotide ribosomal RNA is filed under the name uncultured cyanobacterium. RNAcentral's name for it is "bacterial SSU rRNA". It matches the Rfam family "Bacterial small subunit ribosomal RNA", at positions 137 to 489 of the family's 1533-position model. The record is from RNAcentral. Lineage: Bacteria; Bacillati; Cyanobacteriota.